AUUGAACGCUGGCAGCAGGCCUAACACAUGCAAGUCGAACGGUAACAGGAAGAAGCUUGCUUCUUGCUUACGAGGUGCCGACGGGGGAGGAAAUUUCGGGAAACUGGCUUGUUGAAGGGGAUAACUUCUUGAAACGGUAGGCAAUUCCGCCUUACCUUCCCAAACCCAAGGGGGGGGACUUCCGGCCCCUUGCCCUCCGAUGUUGCCCGAUGGGAUUAGCUAGUAGGUGGGGUAACGGCCCACCUAGGCGACGAUCCCUAGCUGGUCUGAGAGGAUGACCAGCCACACUGGAACUGAGACACGGUCCAGACUCCUACGGGAGGCAGCAGUGGGGAAUAUUGCACAAUGGGCGCAAGCCUGAUGCAGCCAUGCCGCGUGUAUGAAGAAGGCCUUCGGGUUGUAAAGUACUUUCAGCGGGGAGGAAGGGAGUAAAGUUAAUACCUUUGCUCAUUGACGUUACCCGCAGAAGAAGCACCGGCUAACUCCGUG
This 489-nucleotide ribosomal RNA is filed under the name uncultured bacterium. Its description in RNAcentral is "partial 16S ribosomal RNA". It matches the Rfam family "Bacterial small subunit ribosomal RNA", at positions 30 to 507 of the family's 1533-position model. The record is from RNAcentral.